Molecule: ribosomal RNA, 375 nt
Filed under: uncultured Glomeromycotina
Lineage: Eukaryota; Fungi; Glomeromycota
Description: LSU rRNA
Source: RNAcentral
UUGAAAGGGAAACGAUUGAAGUCAGUCGUACCAGCGGGAAAUCAACCUUUCGAGUGGGGGUUUUGGAGUUUUGAAGAGUGUCAAAACCUUUGAGAUUUCAAAAUUUUCGCUCCUUUGGUGUACUUUCUCGUGGGUAGGUUAACAUCGAUUUCGAUCACCAUAAAAGGAUUGGAGGAAUGUAGCUUCGAUCUUGUAUUGAAGUGUUAUAGCCUUUGGUAAAUGUGAUGAUUGGGAUCGAGGAUUGCAACGAAUACCCUUUUGGGCUAUCCGCCUGAUCUCUGAUACGUGGCCUUGGCAUCGAAAGCUUGCUUAUGGUAUCAAGGUAUUACGGUCAAAAGGUUAGAACGGAUUACAUUCGUUAAGGAUGUUGACGUA